GAUGAAGAACGUAGCGAAAUGCGAUAAGUAAUGUGAAUUGCAGAAUUCAGUGAAUCAUCGAAUCUUUGAACGCACCUUGCGCCCCUUGGUUAUUCCAAAGGGCAUGCCUGUUUGAGUAUCAUGAACACCUCAACUCUUGUGGUUUCCCACAAUGAGCUUGGACUGUGGAGGUUUUGUUGGCCCUGUGGUCGGCUCCUCUCAAAUGGAUCAGCUUACCGGUGUUUGGUGGCAUUACGGGUGUGAUAACUAUCUACGCUCGUGGUCGUCUCCAAAUAACCUCCAGUGAUGGAGGUUCGCUGGAGCUUAUAAAUGUCUCUCCCCAGUGAAGACAGCCUUUGAACGUUCGAUCUCAAAUCAGGUAGGACUACCCGCUGAACUUAAGCAUAUCAAUAAGCGGAGGA
Molecule: unclassified non-coding RNA, 401 nt
Filed under: soil metagenome
Description: partial contains 5.8S ribosomal RNA, internal transcribed spacer 2, and large subunit ribosomal RNA
Rfam family: 5.8S ribosomal RNA (bases 1-121)
Source: RNAcentral